Molecule: ribosomal RNA, 733 nt
Filed under: uncultured bacterium
Lineage: Bacteria
Description: bacterial SSU rRNA
Rfam family: Bacterial small subunit ribosomal RNA
Source: RNAcentral
GACGAACGCUGGCGGCGCGCCUAACACAUGCAAGUCGAACGAGCGAGAGAGAGCUUGCUUUCUCGAGCGAGUGGCGAACGGGUGAGUAACGCGUGAGGAACCUGCCUCAAAGAGGGGGACAACAGUUGGAAACGACUGCUAAUACCGCAUAAGCCCACGGGUCGGCAUCGACCAGAGGGAAAAGGAGCAAUCCGCUUUGAGAUGGCCUCGCGUCCGAUUAGCUAGUUGGUGAGGUAACGGCCCACCAAGGCAACGAUCGGUAGCCGGACUGAGAGGUUGAACGGCCACAUUGGGACUGAGACACGGCCCAGACUCCUACGGGAGGCAGCAGUGGGGAAUAUUGCACAAUGGGGGAAACCCUGAUGCAGCGACGCCGCGUGGAGGAAGAAGGUCUUCGGAUUGUAAACUCCUGUUGUUGAGGAAGAUAAUGACGGUACUCAACAAGGAAGUGACGGCUAACUACGUGCCAGCAGCCGCGGUAAAACGUAGGUCACAAGCGUUGUCCGGAAUUACUGGGUGUAAAGGGAGCGCAGGCGGGAAGACAAGUUGGAAGUGAAAUCUAUGGGCUCAACCCAUAAACUGCUUUCAAAACUGUUUUUCUUGAAUAGUGCAGAGGUAGGCGGAAUUCCCGGUGUAGCGGUGGAAUGCGUAGAUAUCGGGAGGAACACCAGUGGCGAAGGCGGCCUACUGGGCACCAACUGACGCUGAGGCUCGAAAGUGUGGGUAGCAAACA